Long non-coding RNA from Xenopus laevis (African clawed frog), 4908 nucleotides. RefSeq lists it as uncharacterized. The record is from RefSeq and is a predicted model, not a curated record. The transcript is spliced from 3 exons. Lineage: Eukaryota; Metazoa; Chordata; Amphibia; Anura; Pipidae.
UAGACCAAGUGACCAAUGCAGAAAAUAUUCCCCCGGACCAGAAACCGCAUUAAAUGCUGGUCAGCCAGGCAGAUGUCUAAGAAACAUCGGCAGAAGAUCCUCCUAAAAAUGAAGGAGACCCAUCUGGAAACAGAAACCGCACAAUCUGAAUACUCACCAUGCAAAAAACUAAAAGGGUCAGCCAGUGAAGAACUUCAUUUCAGUCACAAAACCAGUGGAUUUUCACUUUAAAAUGGAUGAUCGACUCAAGCGUAAUGGCAAUCAGCCUGAGGGAGAUGGCUACAAGGAGGUUGACUUUGCUUUGGCGCUAAGAAAACACCCAACAUCACCAGUGAGUUUAGGACUGUGGAGGUUAUAGUAUUUAUUGUGACCUAGGUGUGGGAGAGCAUAAAUGUAAUUUUCUUGGGCUGUACCCAUAAGUCCAGGUUACCAAAGGAGGACACACCGUCCCAAAACCCUUCAACCUGUCCAAGGGCAAACGUAAACAUGAGGAGGAUUCAGACUUUGUCUUCACUGCUGAGCAGGUGGUUGCCUUCUACAGAAGAACUCCAGCACAUUACCACCUGCGCAGCCGCCAGAAGGAGAUGGAGGGAUGAUUAGUUUAAAUUUCACUAUAUAUAACGUACAUUUUUUUUUUGUAUUAUAAAUUGUUAUUGAUCAUUCAGAAAAUUAUGGUAUGGGGUAGGGGUACAGAAGGAAAAAGAGGAGAGGGGAGGGAAACAGUAUUACAAUAGUACAUGGCACAAAUCUCACAUUUUCAGACCUUGCAUUAUACAAUCUGUGUACUAUUACCUGGUUACAAUAUUAUUUCAAAACCAAUGUUCCUAAAUAUUCAUAAGUUCUUCAUACUCAGAAGAAUCCCUAAACAAGAACCACCAUGUCCAAACAUUCCUAAAAUCUGCAUGUUGUUUCCCAUUGUAGGAAGAUAAUUCUUCAAACCUAACUAUUUCAUUCACUUUAUCUAUCCACUCUUUAGGCUUAGGAGAAGUAGAAGAUUUCCAUAGUCUAUGUAUUAGUAUGUUAGCCACAUUAAGUAAAUGCCUUUCUAAUGUAGAAUCUGGAACAUUUUCUGCAUGGUCUUCUUCCCAAAAGAGGAGAACUCGGGCUGGUGACUCGGGUAUUACUCUACCUAAGAUCUGUGCACACAACUGAAGGAUUAAUGACCAGUAAUUAGUAAGGUUGGGGCAUUCCCAGAAAAUGUGAAGGAGUGUGCCAAUCUCCGAUUUGCAUCUCAAACUUACAUUACUCACUGCGGGAUAUAUUGAUCUCAAUUUAUGUGGAGUGUAGUACCAUCUACUUAAGAGCUUGUAAUUUAGUUCUUGAAUCUUUCAACACCUCAAACUAAACAUUAAAUUCACUAUUCCUUGUCUCAUACCUUCUUCAGUUCCAUCCAUUUUAAGAUCCCGUUUUUAUUAUUUAUUAACAUGUAUUUAUAUAGCGCCAACAUAUUGCGUAGCACUGUUCCCAUGACUUUAUAAAGGGUAAUUGUUUCCUCUUUCCUAAUGCACCUGGCAUAUCAUAUAAGUAGGAAAUCCCAUGUUUUGGUGGGGGGGGAAGUAUUAUUACAUAACUUCUCGAAUGGGGAGAGGGGUCUCCCCAUCUUUCCAUUGCCUCCCAUAUAUGAGUAAAAUGUCUAAGUUAGUAGUAUUGGAAAUUCUUUAGUUUGCUGUUAGGUCUAGCUUGUCUAAGAAGAUCUAAGUCAGCAAGCUGACCUCUUUCCAUAAUAUGUAUGAAUUGCAAAUGACCCUCUACGAGCCAUUCUUUAAAGUUAUGGCAAUUAAGUUCUGGGGGGAAUGCUGGGUUAUUGGUAAUAGGAGUGAGAGGUGAGGGAAAAGUGGUGAAUUUAGAUUUCCCCUUCACAGCGUCCCAUGUAGCCAGUGUACCUUUUAAUAAGAGGUGGGAAUUAUGUAGUAUUCUCUGGUUUACCUUGUCAAUCCAUGGGAAAUGUAUCAAAUGUGUAGCAGUUGAUUGCUGUUCAAUUUCUACCCAAUCUUUGUUGUCUAAAUGAUGGGACCAAUCAAUUAUCCUAGCUAAUUGCACAGCCUUUAGAUAACGGGCACCAUCAGGGAGUGCUAGGCCCCCUCUACCUUGCUUCUGAACAACGUGGUGGUUUUGAUUCUUGGAUGUUGACCCUUCCAAAUAAAUUUAAGUAUAAUGCAUUGAAAAGUCUUAAUCCAGUUGCUUGGAUAUGGCAAUGGUACACACUGGAAUAAAUACAAUAGACCUGGCAUAACGUUCAUCUUUACAACAUUGAUUCUCCCUAACCAGGACAGAGGUUGUUUGGUCCAGUUCUGUAUAUCUUUGUUCAGUCUAGUAAAUGGAGCUUUACAAUUAACUUCCACCCACUCAUUAUAUUCCUUUUUAAUAAGUAUUCCUAAAUAGGAAAAUUGCCCUUUCGCCCAGCUGUACGGGAAGUUUGGGGAAAGUUCUUGAAUUAUACGCUCUGAGAGAGAGACAUUCAUGGCUAUGGAUUUAUUAAAGUUGACUUUAAAGUUACUAAUCUUACCAAAAGCUUCAAAUAAUUUAUUCAAGUUUAGGAUUCGUUAAAAAAAAUAGCAAAUCAUCAGCAUAUGCUGCUACCUUAUAAUGUUUAUGUCUUAUCUUAACCCCGUGGAUAUCCGGGUGUUGACGAAUCUGUUUUUAGAAAAGGUUCCAGAGCCAAGACAAACAGUGUAGGUGAAAGAGGGCAGCCUUGACCAUUUUUAAUUGUAAGAUAGUCCGAAAACACUCCAUUCACCCUGACUCGAGCCACUGGGCCUUUAUAUAGGGAUUUAAUCCAUUGACAAAGGCUAUCCCCAAAUCCAAAUUUAUUGAGACAAGCAAACAUAUAGGCCCAGCUGACUCUAUCAAAGGCCUUUAUAACAUAAGGGGUGUUUUCUUGAGCUCAGCAUGAUGUAGAAUAUUAAUCAAUUUGUUGAUAUUAUCUCUAGUUUCCCUUCCAGGUACAAAGCCUGCUUGGUCCAAUCCUAUCAAGUGGCCAAAAGCCGAUUGUAUUCUAGAAGCGACUAUCUUGGCUAAUAAUUUUGCGUCUACGUUAAUUAAGGAGAUAGGCCUAUAGCCUCCGGGAUCUUCUGGGUUUUUAUUGGCUUUUAAGAGCAGGGAGAUAUGGGCUUCUAGAGAGUGGUGUGAGAACUGGGCUUUCUUUUGUAAAGCAUUAAAUGCCUGCACCAUGUGCGGAAUGAGUAGUUCCGAACAUUCUUUAUAAUACGUGGACGUAUAGCCGUCCGGGCCAGGGCUUUUUCCGCCCGGAGAUGAACUUAUUGCUUGGGAAAGUUCUUCUGCAAAAUAUCUGUUUCUAGGGCUUGCUGUUGCACCGGGAAAAAUUGUGUAAUCGGGAGUGUAUUAAGGAAUUUCUCUAAAGCCAUGGCUUGGGGAAGGUCAUCCAUUAUUGUGGGAGUCUGUAUUUGAUAUAACUUGGUGUAAUAUCUAUGGAAUUCUUGGGCUAUCUGAGGGCUACUAUGCACUUUUCCCUUUUCAAGGGACUGUAAACAAUGUAUAUGAUUUCUGGUUACCCUAGCUUUUAAAAGGCGGGCCAAUAACUACAUUUAUCCCCAUGUUCAUAAAAUCGAUGUUUCAUUCUUGUGACAACUUUUUCAGCAAAUAAAUUAUGAUGAUUAGCUAAAUCUGUGGGUAGACAGACUAAUUUUGCAAAAAGCUCUGCUUUGGGCAUAUGUUUAUUAGCUGCUUCUACCCUUCUGAUUUCUUUCAAUAAAUUUUUAUGCUUGUGUGCUUGUUUUCUCCUGAAACCUAGUUGGAUUAAAAUCCCCUGAAUAUAACAUUUAUGCGCCUCCCAGAUUGUCACCGGACUAACAUCCUCAGUUAUAUCUUCCUUGAAGUAUGUCUUAAUGGCAGAUUUAAUUUUAUUUAGUGUGGAAGUGUCUUUCAACAUAGACUCAUUUAAACGCCAAGUCCCCCUGUGGUGGGACUCUGUAUUUAGGGUCAGAGCGAUGCUGAUUGGUGCAUGAGACCACGAGCGGGUAUAUAUAUUUGCGUCACUAAGGUCCCCCAAAUAGUGUUGUGUAAGGAACACAUAAUCUAUUCUGGUGUAACGGUUAUGCCUGGCAGAGAAGAAGGUGUAAUCUUUCUCUUGAGAUUUAAGGAGUCGCCAAGCAUCUACUAACUGUAGCCUAUGUAAAUCUUUAAUUAUAUUCCUGACAAUCCCAGAAGAAACACUGGAUUUGCUUGUGGAGCAGUCAAUGUGGGGGUUAAGAGGGACAUUUAGAUCCCCGCCAAGAACCAAGAUUCCUUCCAUAAUACUCAACAAGGCCUCCGUUAUUAUAUGAAAAGCUUUAUCUUGUUGUUCAUUGGGCAGGUUUAUGGCUGCAAAAGUGAACAUCUGAGUCCCCAAAGUCCCUUUCACAAAAACAAAUCUCCCAUCCGGGUCCUUUUUUGUAGAGAGAACCUGAAAGUGAAAAUUUUUCCCAAAUAAAAUAGCCACUCCCUUAGUCUUGCUCUGUUAUGGUAAACUGCAAUACAUUUCUGGAAAAUAUCUAUUAGACCAUGUAGGAACACAAGAUGUCUUAAAAUGGGUCUCCUGUACAAAGGCCACCUGUGCCUUAAGACAUCUUAGUUCGGAGCUUAAAAGAAUAAGUUUAUGAGGUGAGUUGAGUCCAUUUGCGUUAAUACUGACUAUAUUCACUUGUAUUUGUUUCUUAUCAGGAACGGAUUGAUUCGGCAUACUCAUAGUACUAUUGUAGGAAGUAUAGAUGGAAGAAUAGUAGGAAUAGGAUAUGAGAAUUCAGAGAGAAGAGAGAAGUUGGAUCAGGAGGGAAAAGCACCUCCUGUUAAGCGGGGUAGGGUGUAAGUAAGCUCUUACCAACGGAAGGAGGACUAGCCGUUACUUCCGUAUAGUUAUAAGCUGGUAAUGAGCGUAUUGGGGUGGUGUAUCUGAUAACAACCGAAAUAGGA